Molecule: ribosomal RNA, 471 nt
Filed under: uncultured Glomus
Lineage: Eukaryota; Fungi; Glomeromycota; Glomeromycetes; Glomerales; Glomeraceae
Description: SSU rRNA
Rfam family: Eukaryotic small subunit ribosomal RNA
Source: RNAcentral
AGCAGCCGCGGUAAUUCCAGCUCCAAUAGCGUAUAUUAAAGUUGUUGCAGUUAAAAAGCUCGUAGUUGAAUUUCGGGAUCAAGGAAUCGGUCAUGCCUCGGUAUGUACUGGUUUUAUUGGUUCUCACCUUCUAAAGAACCAUGAUGUCAUUCAUUUGAUGUUAUGGGGAAUUAGGACUGUUACCUUGAAAAAUUAGAGUGUUUAAAGCAGGCUUACGCUUGAAUACAUUAGCAUGGAAUAAUGAAAUAGGACAUCAGAUUCUAUUUUGUUGGUUUCUAGGAUCGAUGUAAUGAUUAAUAGGGAUAGUUGGGGGCAUUAGUAUUCAAUUGUCAGAGGUGAAAUUCUUGGAUUUAUUGAAGACUAACUACUGCGAAAGCAUUUGCCAAGGAUGUUUUCAUUAAUCAAGAACGAAAGUUAGGGGAUCGAAGACGAUCAGAUACCGUCGUAGUCUUAACCAUAAACUAUGCCGAC